UAAAAAUCCGAAAUUUGUUAAUUGUCUGCUAACUUCAAGAUCAUAUUUCUUUGUGGAUCAAUUUUUGAAUAACCAAGUGAUCAACAUUUCAACAAUCAAUUGAACCCCAAAUUGAAUUAUGAAAAAAAAAAUGAUUAAUUAUUUAACUCGAAAUAAUGAAUAAUUAAUAAGUACCAAGUACUCCGUAAUAAACUUGAGUAUUGAGUAAAGCCACAAAGUUGUUCAGAAACUAUUAGCUAGAUCCUGCUAAUAAGAAGAGCAUCUCACAUCCCGCUAGUGAAACAGUUAUGAUGAAUCUCCUUCUCGGCACCACGAGCCAAAUGAAUAAAGUGAUCUGAUGAAAAUAUAAAAAAUUUUUUUUAUAUACAAACAAGAAAAAUAAAGUAUCAAUGAAUAAAAUACCAAUGGAAUAAUUGAGCGAACAAAAAAUAAUAACAACUGAAAAUUAUGUAAACCAAUGAAGCAGAUCAGUUGUGAGAGCGUCGGUCGAAAUUUUUUAUCCUUAAAUUAUGUUUAAGCAGUUUGUUUUUAUUUAAAAACAUAUUUAAUUUUAGUACACUCCAGUGUAUUAAAGAAAUAAGUCGUCCCGUUAAUUUGAAUCCGCAUACCGAGUGCAUUAACCAGUCCCAGCGAUAGCUUGUGAACAUCUGGUUAAUGUCCAGAUGAUUGUAAAUAUUUAAACUACUAGUUUACAAUAAACUAGUGAGUAAAGAAUAUAAUAUAUUGUAGCUUUCAUGUCUUUUAUAUUCAAUCCGUAAUCAAACAUUUAUCGAAUAUUGUAAAAAUUAAAUUUAAAUAUCAAUUUAAAAAAAAAUUCUUUUAAUUAAAAUAAUAACUUUUUUAUUUUUGGAAAAUUCAAUUAUUGGGAUUUAAAAAAAAAUCAUCAAUAAAUUCUACACUGUAAAAAGAGCGGUGUUAAAAAUGGACUCAAUUUAUCACCGCGCGGUGUUAAAAUGAAAUUACACCGGUGUAGGCGAUGUUAUUUGGCAGUGUUAAAAUACCGGUGUCAAAUCGGUGUAAAAAAAAAAUUCCGCGUAUAGAAAUUAGAAAAAAAAAUGUAUUACAUAUAAAAAAAUAUAAAUUUUAAUUAAUAUUAUCUGAAGGUAUUAUAAUUAAUUAAUUAAAAUACUGUUUAACUCUCGUGAUCGGGUAAGUAAAAAUACUCACAAAGUAAAAUAUUUUCAACACCGAAAAAUAUUUUAACACCGGUAAAGAAUAUUUACACCUUCAGCGGUGUUAUUUUAACACCGCUUUCAGUGUUGAAAUUUAGCACCGAAAAUUUUAACACAUCGCCUGGACUUAGCCCAGUUUUUUUACAGUUUAGAAACAUUUAUUCAUAAUAAAUUAUGGAAAAAUUUUUUUUUUAAAUUAGUGAUAACUAUUUUUCUUGGACCCAUCAGUUUACAUAUCUCGUGAAAAUUUAAUAAUUAAAUUGAAAUAAACAAUAAAUUUUGAAAUGGCAAAUUUCCAAUACCAUCUACGCGUGGAGUAUUACAUUGUUUACACUUGCCAAGAGAAAAGAAAGUAAAGCAAGUAAAGAAGAUGGAGAGAGUCAUCGGGAAGAAUCUCGAAUUUUUUACAGGAUUCGAAGAAAAUUUUUUAUUCAUCACUUAUUACAUUUUUCCGUCAGUUCUUUCGGCUAAUUAAUUUCCGUAAAAGAGUACAAGUUAUUAUUAUAUAGGCCACUAAUUCGGUGACAUGGAAUUAUUUUUUUGUUUUGGAUAAUCGUUUUAAAAAAAAUACAACGGAUACACUGAAUAACGAUGUGUCACGAACAGUAAUUUGUCUUAGUAUCAUUAAGAUUUGAUAUUUAAUCUAGUGGGAGUUAACGGUUGCAUUCAUACAUAUAUAUAAUAAUAUCAUUAUUAAAUAUAUACAAUAGAGAUAGUAAUUUUCAACACCUAAAUCAUUCAAUCUUUUCUUUAUUAUUUACCGUACGAUGUAAAUUAUAAAUAUAAAUAU
Microplitis mediator is the source of this 1962-nucleotide long non-coding RNA. RefSeq lists it as uncharacterized. The record is from RefSeq and is a predicted model, not a curated record. The transcript has 4 exons. Lineage: Eukaryota; Metazoa; Arthropoda; Insecta; Hymenoptera; Braconidae.